This is a non-coding RNA of Halocaridina rubra (Hawaiian volcano shrimp), 74 nucleotides long. NCBI's taxonomy places the organism in Eukaryota, Metazoa, Arthropoda, Malacostraca, Decapoda, Atyidae. The record is from the annotation of a GenBank genome assembly.
AACCUUCUGUGGUGUAGUGGUAGCGCGUUUAUUUAGUAAUCAUAAGUCCUGGGUUCGAGUCCCGGGCAGGGUAA